RNAcentral lists this ribosomal RNA (442 nucleotides) under uncultured bacterium. Its description in RNAcentral is "partial 16S ribosomal RNA". It matches the Rfam family "Bacterial small subunit ribosomal RNA", at positions 338 to 795 of the family's 1533-position model. The record is from RNAcentral.
CCUACGGGAGGCAGCAGUAGGGAAUCUUUCACAAUGGGCGAAAGCCUGAUGGAGCAACGCCGCGUGCAGGAUGAAGGCCUUCGGGUUGUAAACUGCUGUUAUAAGCGAGAAACAUGUUGGUAACUAAUGAAUAAGGAACGGCGAAUAACGUGUCAGCAGACGCCGGCGUACGUAGGAGCCGAACAUUAUCAGGAGGAACUGGCUGUAAUGUGUUCCGUAGGUGGUGUUAUUAAUGGCUUGUGGAAACUGGUGGGUCAACCAUUCAGACUAUUAGGUAAACUGGUAAGCUAGAGUUAGAUAGAGGUAAGCGGAAUUGCAUGUGUAGCGGUGAAAUGCGUAGAUAUAAGGAAGAACACCAAUGGCGAAGGCAGGUUACUGGGACGAUACUGACGCUGAGGGACGAAAGCGUGGGGAGCAAACGGGAUUAGAUACCCGUGUAGUC